CUAGAAAAACUUAGCGGCGAACGGGUGAGUAACACGUAAAGAACCUGCCUCAUAGACGGGGACAACUAUUGGAAACGAUAGCUAGUACCGGAUAACAGCAUAAAUCGCAUGAUAUAUGUUUAAAAGUUGGUUUCGGCUAACACUAUGAGAUGGCUUUGCGGUGCAUUAGCUAGUUGGUGGGGUAAAGGCCUACCAAGGCGACGAUGCAUAGCCGACCUGAGAGGGUGAUCGGCCACACUGGGACUGAGACACGGCCCAGACUCCUACGGGAGGCAGCAGUAGGGAAUCUUCCGCA
Molecule: ribosomal RNA, 295 nt
Filed under: uncultured Exiguobacterium sp.
Lineage: Bacteria; Bacillati; Bacillota; Bacilli; Caryophanales
Description: partial 16S ribosomal RNA
Rfam family: Bacterial small subunit ribosomal RNA
Source: RNAcentral